GACGAACGCUGGCGGCGUGCCUAAUACAUGCAAGUAGAACGCUGAAGGAGGAGCUUGCUUCUCUGGAUGAGUUGCGAACGGGUGAGUAACGCGUAGGUAACCUGCCUGGUAGCGGGGGAUAACUAUUGGAAACGAUAGCUAAUACCGCAUAAGAGUAGAUGUCGCAUGACAUUUGCUUAAAAGGUGCAAUUGCAUCACUACCAGAUGGACCUGCGUUGUAUUAGCUAGUUGGUGAGGUAACGGCUCACCAAGGCAACGAUACAUAGCCGACCUGAGAGGGUGAUCGGCCACACUGGGACUGAGACACGGCCCAGACUCCUACGGGAGGCAGCAGUAGGGAAUCUUCGGCAAUGGACGGAAUUCUGACCGAGCAACGCCGCGUGAGUGAAGAAGGUUUUCGGAUCGUAAAGCUCUGUUGUAAGAGAAGAACGAGUGUGAGAGUGGAAAGUUCACACUGUGACGGUAUCUUACCAGAAAGGGACGGCUAACUACGUG
This 495-nucleotide ribosomal RNA is filed under the name uncultured bacterium. RNAcentral describes it as "partial 16S ribosomal RNA". It matches the Rfam family "Bacterial small subunit ribosomal RNA", at positions 28 to 507 of the family's 1533-position model. The record is from RNAcentral.